AGUGAACGCUGGCGGUAGGCCUAACACAUGCAAGUCGAACGGCAGCACAGUAAGAGCUUGCUCUUACGGGUGGCGAGUGGCGGACGAGUGAGGAAUACAUCGGAAUCUACUUUUUCGUGGGGGAUAACGUAAGGAAACUUACGCUAAUACCGCAUACGACCUACGGGUGAAAGCAGGGGAUCUUCGGACCUUGCGCGAUUGAAUGAGCCGAUGUCGGAUUAGCUAGUUGGCGGGGUAAAGGCCCACCAAGGCGACGAUCCGUAGCUGGUCUGAGAGGAUGAUCAGCCACACUGGAACUGAGACACGGUCCAGACUCCUACGGGAGGCAGCAGUGGGGAAUAUUGGACAAUGGGCGCAAGCCUGAUCCAGCCAUACCGCGUGGGUGAAGAAGGCCUUCGGGUUGUAAAGCCCUUUUGUUGGGAAAGAAAAGCAGCAGGUUAAUACCCCGCUGUUCUGACGGUACCCAAAGAAUAAGCACCGGCUAACUUCGUG
RNAcentral lists this ribosomal RNA (492 nucleotides) under uncultured bacterium. Its description in RNAcentral is "partial 16S ribosomal RNA". It matches the Rfam family "Bacterial small subunit ribosomal RNA", at positions 29 to 507 of the family's 1533-position model. The record is from RNAcentral.